GAUGCAUUCAGGAAGAGGGCGGGAAGUUUGCAGAACUUCCUACAGCUGGGGAAGAAAUCUGUGGGAGGGUCUGAUAUGGCCCCAGAUAACUUGCAGGGGAAGAGGAAGUCCUGUCCUCCCAGCCCAGCUGGGACUAGCAGUUG
Molecule: long non-coding RNA, 143 nt
Organism: Chelonia mydas (Green sea turtle)
Lineage: Eukaryota; Metazoa; Chordata; Testudines; Cheloniidae
Exons: 3
Source: RefSeq, a predicted model, not a curated record